GACGAACGCUGGCGGCGUGCUUAACACAUGCAAGUCGAACGCUGAAGCACCAGCUUGCUGGUGUGGAUGAGUGGCGAACGGGUGAGUAAUACGUUAGUAACCUGCCCUUGACUCUGGGAUAAGCCCGGGAAACUGGGUCUAAUACUGGAUGCUACAUGUCACCGCAUGGGGGUGUGUGGAAUGGGUUUACUGGUCUGGGAUGGGCUCACGGCCUAUCUGCGUUUUGGGGAGGUUAUGGCUCACCAAGGCGACGACGGGUAGCCGGCCUGAGAGGGUGACCGGCCAAACUGGGACUGAGACACGGCCCAGAAUCCCACCGGGGGCCGCAGUUGGGGCUUUUUCCCCCUGGGCCGAGGCCUGAUGCCGCGGCGGCGCGUGAGGGAUGACGGCCUUCGGGUUGUAAACCUCUUUCCGCAGGGAAGGCGCCACAAGUGCCGGUCCCUGCUGAAGCAGCGCCGGCUCCCUCCGUG
Molecule: ribosomal RNA, 470 nt
Filed under: uncultured bacterium
Lineage: Bacteria
Description: partial 16S ribosomal RNA
Rfam family: Bacterial small subunit ribosomal RNA
Source: RNAcentral